UCUUUCUCCUGCCUUUGAAUUCCCCAUCACACCAAAGCCCAAUCCCGGAGAACCAUGGUGUGAGAUUCGAGGCAAGGUCAAUGGAAACACGUUUCUGUAUUACGCCUGUGGGAACAAGAAGGUCGAAGUCUUUGGUCCUCUGGGGAGGAAUGUGAAUGACAUAGUGUUUUGGGAGAGACAGACCGAAACUCUGAAAGACCUGGCAGAAGAGCUCAAGAAGAAACUACUUGACUGGAAAGCAGCGGAUUUUACACCCAGUGGUAAGUCGGAAAGGCCCAGGGCAGAAGUAGAACAGUUUGUAGGGCCAGGGACCUAUUGUGUUCACGUACAACUUAGACAUGGGUCCCACACGCGUGGCCCAGCAGCCAGGGCAGUGAAGAGGGACAGAACAGGACCAAGAAGGGUGAAGGGGAGCCGAGGAGUGGACAGCGGGUGGGACAAGGGAUCGGUCAAGACCAGAGGCUGACCUCAUGCCCAUGGUGGGGGUGGGGGACAGACUCUCUCUCCCUGCAGGGCAGGAUGGUGUGUGUGCGUGGGGACAACGGACGCACCAGCGGAUCCUGGGAGUUUCACAUCAAUGAACAGAUAUCCUACUUCUUUAACUCAGAGAGUGGAAAUUGGACACUUUGUCCUAGAGGCCAACAGAUAAAGGCCUCAUGGGAGAGUGACAGAGAUUUGACCAAUUCCCUCGUGAAGAUCUCAGUUGGAGAUUGUAACAAGUGGCUUGAGCGAAUAUUGAUGCACUGGGAUGAACUGUGGGAGACAACAGGUAACUCAGAAGACUGGAUGAAGUUGUUCUCUUGAAAUCGGGCCUACCUUCUCCACUGUAGUGUGCGUGUGUGUGUGUGAGAGAGAGAGAGAGAGAGAGAGAGACAGAAACAGAGCCAGAGAAGGUGAUCCAUCCAUGGUGAAUUUCUUUAGGGGAGAGUAAUGGCCACAUUAUGUUCUAGCGUCCUUCCUUUCCCUUCUCAACUCCUGAAAUCUCUUCCUUGCUGCAUGUCCUUUAGUUUUCUGGGAUUUCUUGGAUUCCCUCUAGGCCCCAAACAUGAGGGUGUCAGUCUGAUUCCAGAGAUUCCUUCUCGCUCUUCCCUUUCCUGAGAAUCAUUGAUCUUCUCAUCUCAUCUUGUCUCUGGCCGGGGAUCAUUCCUGGCCACGUGCACUGUUAGCUCCAGAGAGGGGGUCAACUGUCACCACCCUCGUGCUCCGUGACCACCUCUUCUGCCACAGCAGGAGUGACCAGUUAUGUUGGAACCCGUGCUUCCCCCUUUAGCUGUGCGAGGUCCUUCGGGACAGGUCCCGUGUCUUUCCUCGGUUCCCGCCCCAGAACCUGUCACAGCAGCUGCCACGAUGUAGAGUGACAGAAAGCAUCUGCAGCGUGGGAUCAUCUGCGGCAGGAGGAGCGGAGGGGGUAUCUCUUCCGAUUUAAGUCUGAAACAGGAUUUGGGGUCUGAAACCCUCUUGUGUUUCCAUUUCAGCCCCGCCAGGCACGCAGCAAGUCACGGCCCAGUCCGGGGCCACGGCCCUCAGACCCAUCACCUGGAUCCU
This 1545-nucleotide long non-coding RNA is filed under the name Lynx pardinus (Iberian lynx). The record is from RNAcentral. Lineage: Eukaryota; Metazoa; Chordata; Mammalia; Carnivora; Felidae.